Molecule: ribosomal RNA, 449 nt
Filed under: uncultured bacterium
Lineage: Bacteria
Description: bacterial SSU rRNA
Rfam family: Bacterial small subunit ribosomal RNA
Source: RNAcentral
GAGCGGGGAAGAGUAGCUUGCUACUUUACCUAGCGGCGGACGGGUGAGUAAUGCUUAGGAAUCUGCCUAUUAGUGGGGGACAACAUCUCGAAAGGGAUGCUAAUACCGCAUACGUCCUACGGGAGAAAGCAGGGGACCUUCGGGCCUUGCGCUAAUAGAUGAGCCUAAGUCGGAUUAGCUAGUUGGUGGGGUAAAGGCCUACCAAGGCGACGAUCUGUAGCGGGUCUGAGAGGAUGAUCCGCCACACUGGGACUGAGACACGGCCCAGACUCCUACGGGAGGCAGCAGUGGGGAAUAUUGGACAAUGGGGGGAACCCUGAUCCAGCCAUGCCGCGUGUGUGAAGAAGGCCUUUUGGUUGUAAAGCACUUUAAGCGAGGAGGAGGCUACCGAGAUUAAUACUCUUGGAUAGUGGACGUUACUCGCAGAAUAAGCACCGGCUAACUCUGUG